This 72-nucleotide transfer RNA is filed under the name Phrynosoma platyrhinos (Desert horned lizard). Its description in RNAcentral is "tRNA-OTHER". The record is from RNAcentral. Lineage: Eukaryota; Metazoa; Chordata; Lepidosauria; Squamata; Phrynosomatidae.
GCCAGUGUGGUAUAGUGGUUUGAGUGUUGGACUAAGACUCUGGAGACCAGGGUUUGAAUCCCUGAUUGGUCA